AAUGGUCAAAUUUAAUCCCCACCCACAUAUAUCUACCUAAUUACAACCUAAAACAAAAACCCUAGAGAACACCCCUGAACCCUUAGAGAUGCAGCAGCCCCAACCCGCCGACCCCUCUCCCUUCAGUCUAAAAACUAGCCUUCCACACCACCCUUCAGCCACCAGCCACACGCCACCAAGCUCGACGGACAUCCGACAACAAUCUUCAACAACGAGCCGCCCACCCCUAAGACUCCGACUGCCGCACACAACUUUCCCAAAAAUCAAUCUUCAUUCCUUAACUUGAAACACUGAUUUUCCUCCAACAAAGAGACAAAACCAAGAAUCCUAGAUACAUAUCCAAUUCGCCACAAAUAACAAUUUUAUUUGUUACCAAAAAGUGCUUGUGACCAUGCUUUUUCUUCAUAGAAAGACCAGUACACUCCAAAAGAAAAUUAGGAGUACAUCGUGUCGGGGUUACAUGGUUGUUCCCAUGUUUUAGAACAACAACAAAUCAAGAGAUGAAAGUCAGUGGCUUUAACACAAGGGAAUGGACUGUAUAAGCGGAGUAUUCCGGCGAAAUUGGAGGCGUGAUCGAGGCAGUGAGGUUUUUCAAUUGAGGUGUCCAUUCGCGGUUUUCCGUCUCCGAUUGAAGGCUCCUACUUGGUCGAGUUAGACAUCAAAGGUCUAUUCAUGCUUCUCUAACUUGAAAUCUUUUAAUUGCUUUAUUUGAUAGUGAAUUUGAUUUAUGAAACUCUCUGUUAUUUUGUCUUGUUCUAGAUUAAUGGAUGAUUUGUCUUCUCUGCUCAAUCUAUUUGAUGUCAAGAAUGGAUUUACUUACUAAGCAAUUAAGAUGGUUGAACAGUUGAUGAGUUAAAGGGGCCUUGGGGUUUGGGGUACUGGAAAUUGAAAAAAGGAUUUGAGCCAUGUGGUUUGUUAGGGAUUAAACUUCAUGGUAUUUGGGCUUCGUAUGAUUUCAAUUGUUAUUAUUAUAUUCUAUUGAGUCGACAGUAGUAUGCUUAGGUCCGUCAUCACCGGGGUAGGCAAACUUUAGGAUUUAUUUUAGUUUUAAGGUGAGAGGUCAUUCCUUUUGUUAAAUUCAUCUGGGGAAUGCCCCGAAGGAUUUGUAUAUAUUUUAUUCCGGGGAAUGCCCCGUAGUAUUUUGUAAUUGGAGGCUAAAAGUAGAACUUGUAGUGUUUUAUUCUUGUUUUAUUUUUCUUUAUUAGGUGGGGACGACCUCGAGCCUCUUAUGUGUUAAUUUUCCCAUUUAUGUGUUUAUUACCUCAAUUUGAAUAUUCUAAAAUCCAACUAGAUCGAGUACGCAACUGUGACUUUCACGGGAUUUGCGGAGUGCCUAACACCUUCUCCCCGAGUCAAAUGAACCCCCUUACUCAAAUCUCUGGUGCAGACUUAGUUUUAAAGUCCGAAGUGUUUUGAAAGGAAAAAUUAUAUUUUUUAAAAACGGUGAUCUGGCACACCGAAACCAAUGUCAAGUGGCGACUCUGAGUUAAUCCUUUUGAACACUAUCUUUUGUCACUUUCAAAAUUGAAAAAAAAACCUUUCGAUCGUUGCUAAAUCUUUUUAUUUAUUUAAGAGGGUUAGUGAGGUGGUAAAAAGGGGGUGUGACAGCUCUGGCGACUCUGCUGGGGAGUUGCAGGUUUGAGCUGAUACUUGAUCUUGUUGGCUUUUAGGAUAUUCGGUUGAGGUGUUUAUUUUCUUUAUUUGCUUUGUUUAGUUGGUUUUUUUGUCUUAUUUCCCGUUUUGUUGGUUGUUUGUUUAUCGUUUUUCCUUAUGUAUUACUGCUUUAUAAAUUGUCAUCAUUUGCAUAACCCUAGGUUUUUUUUUCCGCAACAAGUCUUCCGAAGUACGUUUGAGCGUACACGACCUUUUGUCAGUCAUCGAUGUCUUUAGGGGGUGGCGUGGGAGCGUGGAGUGGGCGGACAGCUAGAGCAACCGCCAUCGACCACGUGCCGCCCCGAAUUGCCUUGUCUAGUGAACCCCAAACGUAGGUCAAACUUUAGGUCAUUUUUAUUUGCAUAAUUAUCAUUGUGACUUAGUAGGGCUCGGUCCUAGGUACCGUGUUCCUUUGUAGGAAGCAUGACCAAGUUGUGUCAAGUGGGCCCAUGGCCCAAAAGGACAUUCAAUCGUCCCUAUGUGCGACAUGCUGCAUUCUUUAAGGGUAAAAGGGUCAUUUGGCAGACCAAUGAUGGUUGAGGGUAUAUAGAUGAAGCAAGUAGGGCCCAGUUAUAUUUUUCUUUUACAACUUUUUCAAGAAAAGACCAAAAAAAAUUGAAAAUGAAAAAAAAAUCCAAAAUGAUUUUGCAAUUUCUCAUCAUUUCCAAAAUACAAAAAAAAAGAGAAAAAGAAAAUCCAAAAGAUUUUUACCUUUUCCAUCAUUUUUCAAAAAAAACAAAAAAUAUAGUUUCUCCAAAUUAAUUGCAUUUUUUUAAAAAAGCUUUCUCCCAUAUCCAAUCUUUCCGAACUGUGCAUACCUGAUUCUUGUCUUUUGGGACCGGAUACGUAGGCAGCCCACAUAGGUUCCAGUCUUCCUAGUGUCAUAGGUUCUUGGCUUCGCGGGGUCUUGGCCAAAUCUUGCAUGUCUAGCCACGUUUGGCCAUAUCGGCUGCUUUUGCAAAAUAGGGAUAUUUUCGCAAAAUGGUUUGUUAAACUAUGUAUUAGAGUCCUUAGCCCAUAGCAAGGUGUUCUCUCAGUUUUAAGGUCCAUUCCCGUUGAAUUUGCAUGUCUAGCCACUUUUGGCCAUAUCGGCCAUUGUUGCAAAAUGGGGUCAUUUUCGCAAAAGUGGUUCAAUUACCCAUGUCUUAGGAUUUUGAGUCCACAACUAGGUGUCAUAUUACUUUAAGGUCCUUCCUUUUUGAGUUUGCAUCUUUAGCCACUUCUGGCCAUAUCGACCAUUCAAAAUGGGUUAUUUCUGCAAAUUAAUUUUGGGCCAUGAUUAUUGCGAGUUUGAAUCCAUAUAAGCCUUAGGGAGGUAUGUCCAUGUCUUUGAGGUCAUCUUUGUUGAGUUCGCGCUAAUAGCCACAUUUUGGCUGCAUAGGUCAUUUUGCAAAAAUAGCCUUAAUCAUGCCUUGCAUGUGUCCAAUAGAAGGUGUCAUGGCGUCACAUGUGUUUUGAGUCACUAGCUCUAUUUGAUAUUAUUUUCUCCAUUCAGGUAUGGAUCAAUUUGCUAGAGUUUGAGCAUAACAAAUACCCCAGGACCAUUUUAGUCAAGAUCAUUGCAUGCACGAGCUGCUUGAGGAAACUUUUUAUUUUUUAGUCUAUUUUAUGUUGUCUUUUAAUUAUUAGUCUUAUACAGUAGUAUCGAGUAUGUCAGUCUAGUUAAGAUUUUCAAGUCUUUUGUUAUAGUACUUCCUAUUUUGUAUUUGAAAAACAAAAAAAAUUAUAAAUGAAAAUUCCAAAAAGAUUUUUAUUUUUAGUUUAUUCGUCCAUUACUUUUUUCAGAACUAUGCUUGAUCUGAUUCAUGAGGGACAUGAUACACAGGCAACCUACAUAGGGUUCGAUCGAAUCUUUUUUUUUUUUUGAAAAAAAAAGAGACAAAAAAAAGAAAAAAAAAAGAUUAAAUUGUGGAUGUGAUAAAUGAGAGGAAAGAAAAGAGUGACAAUUAGAAAGAAAAUAAAGGAAGGAAAAUGAACAAGCCAGGAAGUGCUACAAAAGAAAGAAAAGAGAAGAUUGAAAUGAAACAAAAUUGGGAUGAUGCCAAGUGACCUUGUGACCCUCGAAGUCACUCUAGAACUAUUAAUUGUUGCUAGGUGCAUUGCACGCAAUGUAAUAUUUCUAUUUGAUAAAUACCCUAACGCUAACAUGUUGGCUUUGUUUUGAUCCUUUUUGUUACUUUCAUUGCUAUCAUAACAGAGGGUGGUUAGUUUGUGGCACUUUGGCGAUUCGUCCAUACAACACAAGGUCAAAGAGCAAGUAGCCAUGGCUAGUAAAGAAACAGACGCUGGGGUUGUAGACCCAUCAAGAGAGUUUGUGGAGUCAGAGUCUGAAUUGAAAGAGGAGGUCCAAAGGUUGAAACAACAGAAUGGCAGAAAUGUAUCAGUCUUGGAUCAGGGGGCAUCAUCCACCUUUAUUCCCCACUAACUACACUAAAAACCAUGCAACUAUCCCACAACUAUCACAAACCCAAGUUCCCACUGCUGUUGAUAUCUCCCCACAACAUUUUCACAUUCCACUCUUCAAAAGCACAUCAUAUCCCGCUCCUUUGACCACUCGUGUUUUUGUAGCUCAUCCACCAGCUACUCUUCCUCGAUCCACCAGCGCGACUAUGUUCCAAUCUCCAGAUGUCCAACACUAUGAUCUAGAACCAAUUUUCAAGGUCUCAGGUCCAUACUCUUACGCUCUUCAUUCUGAGCCUCCCGGUGAAACUGCAAAGCCUACUAAGAUUGUGGAGCAGGAUGAGAUAUCCAGAAAGCUAAAAGGGUCUAAAAUGCUAAAGCUUAAUUUAUAUGAUGGGCGUGGAGAUACAGUAGCCCAUCCGAGGGGUUAUUUCAGUGAAAUAAGAGGUUUUUGCGGGAAAUAUAAGGUAUUGAUGGCGUAUUUCAGUCAGAGUCUGAGUGGGGAAGCUCUAGAGUGGUACACCCGCCAAGACACUAGUAAGUCGCAUGCAUGGGGUGACCUAGCUCAAGAUUUUGUUCGGCACUAUCAGUACAAUGUUGACAUUAUCCCAGACCGCUCCUCCCUAUCUCAGAUGGAAAAGAAACCCAAGGAAGAGUUUAGGUAGUUUUGGUUCAGAUGGAACGAACAAGUUGCUGGGAUCAGUCCUCCGAUUGAUAGAAAAGAUGUUGUCGAGCCCAGCCAAUGACAGGAUCUAGUGGUCAUUCCUGCUAAACUCUUUCAGCCUCAAUACCGACCCCAUGAAUAUCCUUGUACUCCAAAUAAUCCUCCCCAAUGCUACUUUCCUCCACAAAAUCCCCAAAGUCAUACCUUACCUCCUCAGUACUCUAUCCACAAUGCACCGCCAUAUGCUCCACACCCACGAAACCUGCGACGGCUUGCACCACCUCCACAAAUGUCUUACCCACCUCAAAAAGCAUAUCAACCCCCUACCCGAAAGAGGUUCCAACCAAGGCCGGAGUACAAAUGAGAAGGCAGCAACAAAGAGAAAAGUCUUUCACUCCUAUUGAAGAAUCAUAUGCUAGUUUAUUAAAAAGGCUGAGGCAAUUGGACAUGUUAAAGCCGAUUCAGAUAAAAAUGUUGAAACGCUUUCCAAAGAGUUUUGAUUUUUCUCAAAGGUGCGCAUAUUGCUCUAAUGCCCUGGGGCACGACAUAGAAAAGUGCUGGAAUCUGAAAAGGGAGUCCAGAAGCGUAUUGAUGCAGGUGACAUUACCGUGCAAAAUCCAAAUGCAACAAAUACUAGCCAAAGUCCAUUGUCUGUUCAUAAUGAGACGCAUAUGGUGGACAUGAUUUGUGUGGAAAAGGAAUAUGAGAACUCUUCUGAAUCCCUUGGAGGGCCACUUACCGCAAAGUUUUCAGCGCUAUCAGUUUCAGUUCUUUUAAGGAAGAGUUGGCAAAAGGGACCCAAAAGUUGUUUGUUUAGGUCAACGUGAUGGAAAUUGGUGAAGGUCCUAGUAAUUUUGAUGUGCAACCCAGUGGCUAAGAUGUUGAGCUUGGUAAUUGGAAAGACACUCCUUUCUUGGCUAGCCAGGGAGGAGUUUUGGUGAUUUAUUUUGUUGUCAUUUCUAUCUUUGGGUCAUUUCAGGGUUGUAAUUCGGACAUUGUCUUGUGGCUCAAACCCUUCUGCUUCUUAUUUUUUCUAGUUUGUUUAGUAGUAGUAACUCGUCUAGCAUUAUCUAGGAUUGUUCCAGGGUUGUAACCCAUGUCUAUUUUGCUUGUUUUGUUCAAACCUUUUUCACCAUCUGUCUAAUGCAAUCUCCUAUUUUCUAUUAGUUCUAGUCAGUUUUUUAGGUCACUUUUCCUUUUAUAGUUCUUUUCAUGCUGACUCUAGUGACAUGACAUGCACAUAUAAUUCUCAGCUUGGUCUUGAAAGUUAGUUUAAUCAUAAAGCAAUGACACCGUUUUGAACAUGAUAAAAAGAGGCAUUUGAGGAAACAAAUAAAGAUUCACGUAUUCUGAGAUAACCUGAAGCUUGAAUAGAGUGAAACUGAGGCAUUAAGUCUGGGAAAUCAAGAGGUCGAUAAGAGCAUACAACAAGAAGAUGUCUCUCAAGCAGUUUGAGGUAAAUCGGUCAGUGCUGAAAUGCAUUUUUCCACAUCAAGAUAAGGUUGAGUCAAGUCUGGUUCGAACUGGCCAGGGUCAUUCAUUGAGAUAAAGGUAUUGCUCAUUGGCACUUUUUAUUUGUGGUAAUGCCAUCACUAGAUACUUUGUUUGAUUUCUUUAUUUAUCUCCAAUUGCAUGUUUGUACUUGGCAUUUUUAAAAUUUGGUAUGACGAAGGCAUUUUAUUCUUCUACCUAAACACUUUUAUCUUUUGUUACCCCUUUUGAUCCUUACAUUAUUUUCUUUCGUACCCCUCUUUUGGAAUCAAAAAUAGAGUUAGGAACUAGAAAAGAAAAAGAANNNNNNNNNNNNNNNNAUUUCAGAAUCCAAUUCAAGUUAGAAGUAGCAGAAGCUCGCGGCAAGAAUGCGAGUCCACAGUCCGAGAUGAUGAACAGAAGUAAUCUCAAUCCAGAAUUUAAAAAAAAAAAAGGAAGUGAAUCCAAAAUUGCAGAAGCUGAGACAAGAGGUGGAUUGCUCAAGACAUGACUAAAGUCACAAGCAUGGUGUGUCCGACUUUGAUCCGAAAAAAUGAAGAAGAAUGAACUAGCACCUGCAACUAGCAAGCGUCAAGGUUCAAAUCUAAAGUCUGCAUGAAGAACCAUUCAAGACUCAAGAUCAAGCUUCAGAAGACUUAUAGAUAGGAAUCUUGUAACUUGUAGUUGACAAGCUUAGUUAGUCUUUUUCAUUUGUUAAUUUUGAUGUAAUAACAGGACCGCAGACCGGAACCUCGACAGAAUGGCACCUCGACCGGCUCUCCACCCCAGUAUACUCCAUCACCUCAUUCACUUCUGAACUAUAUGUGGCAUGAUUCCUUUAUUGCCAAGGAUAUGUAGGCAGCUCAGAUACUAGGGCUCGGUCACAUUCUCUUCCUUUCUCUUAGUUCUUGGUUUCUCUAAACAAGGGUCGGGUCAAAAAAACCUGUCUCGUCGUUCUUUGUCUGAAAACUCUUCGUGUUUCCAAUCAAAGAGGGGCAGCUGUAGACAUGUAAUUUUUGACCCUCCCCAUUUUACGUAUUUUAGUGUUAAAUAUUUAGUUUAGGUCUAAUAUAGCUAUUUCAACUAGUUUUAACUAUUUUACUUUAUUUUGUCAACAAAAAUAAAAAUUACAAAAAAAAAAUCUUUUAUUUAGGUUACUGGUAUUUUAUCUUGUUACUUUUAGUUUAUCUAUCUUACAUAAAAUUCGAAAAUACAAAAAUAGUUACACUUUAUUUUUCAAGGAUAUUAGUAUUUUGGGUAGUAGUAUUGUCUUAAUUUUGCGAUGAUUUUAAUCUAAUCUUGUUAUUAUUUUAGUUUGACAUUUGAAAAAUAUAAAAAAAAUUAGUUUCAUAUUUUAUGUAUAAUUUAGUUUAAUUAAUUAGAUAGAUUUUUGCAAUAUUUAGUAUAUUUAGUAUAUUAAAAGGUAUUUAGCUAAGGUUUGGACAUUCUUCUUUUAGUCCAAUUUUAAGACCCAAAUAUGAAUCCCAAGACCCUUUAACCCAUUAGAACUUUUUAAUUUAAUCUUAGCCAGUCACUCCCCUUCAUCCAAUGGUCAAAACUAAUCCCCACCCACAUAUAUCUACCUAUUUACAACCUAAAACAAAAACCCUAGAGAACACCCUGAACCCUUAGAGCCGCAGCAGCCCCAACCCGCCGACCCCUCCCCCUUCAGUCUAAAAACUAGCCUUCCACACCACCCUUCAGCCGCCAGCCACACGCCACCAAGCUCACCGGACGUCCGACCACAAUCCUCAACAACGAGCCGCCCACCCCUAAAACUCCGACAGACGCACACAACUUUCCCAAAAAUCAAUCUUCAUUCCUUAACUUGAAACACUGAUUCCUCCAACAAAGAGACAAAACCAAGAACCCUAGACACAUAUCCAAUUCGCCACAAAUAGCAAUUUUAUUUGUUACCAAAAAGUGCUUGUGACCAUGCUUUUUCUUCAUAGAAAGACCUGUACACUCCAAAAAAAAAUUAGGAGUACAUCGUUGUGGGGUUACAUUGUUGUUCCCAUGUUUUAGAAAAACAGCAAAUCAAGAGAUGAAAGUCGGUGGCUUUAACACAAGGGAAUGAACUGUAUAAGUGGAGUAUUCCGGUGAAAUUGAAGGCGUGAUCGAGGCAGUGAGGUUUUCCGAUUGAGGUGUCCAUUCGCGGUUUUCCAUCUCCGAUUGUAGGCUCCUACUUGGUCGAGUUAGACAUCAAAGGUCCAUUCACGCUUCUCUAACUUGAAAUCUUUUAAUUGCUUUAUUUGAUAGUGAAUUUGAUUUAUGAAACUCUCUGUUAUUUUGUCUUGUUCUAGAUUAAUGGAUGAUUUGUCUUCUCUGCU
This 8517-nucleotide long non-coding RNA is filed under the name Nicotiana tabacum (common tobacco). RNAcentral describes it as "long non-coding RNA (NTAB_LNC012379)". Lineage: Eukaryota; Viridiplantae; Streptophyta; Magnoliopsida; Solanales; Solanaceae. The record is from RNAcentral.